GAUGAACGCUGGCGGCGUGCCUAAUACAUGCAAGUCGAGCGAACGGACGAGAAGCUUGCUUCUCUGAUGUUAGCGGCGGACGGGUGAGUAACACGUGGAUAACCUACCUAUAAGACUGGGAUAACUUCGGGAAACCGGAGCUAAUACCGGAUGAUAUUUUGAACCGCAUGGUUCAAAAGUGAAAGACGGUCUUGCUGUCACUUAUAGAUGGAUCCGCGCUGCAUUAGCUAGUUGGUAAGGUAACGGCUUACCAAGGCAACGAUGCAUAGCCGACCUGAGAGGGUGAUCGGCCACACUGGAACUGAGACACGGUCCAGACUCCUACGGGAGGCAGCAGUAGGGAAUCUUCCGCAAUGGGCGAAAGCCUGACGGUGCAACGCCGCGUGAGUGAUGAAGGUCUUCGGAUCGUAAAACUCUGUUAUUAGGGAAGAACAUAUGUGUAAGUAACUGUGCACAUCUUGACGGUACCUAAUCAGAAAGCCACGGCUAACUACGUG
Molecule: ribosomal RNA, 497 nt
Filed under: uncultured bacterium
Lineage: Bacteria
Description: partial 16S ribosomal RNA
Rfam family: Bacterial small subunit ribosomal RNA
Source: RNAcentral